This 253-nucleotide ribosomal RNA is filed under the name uncultured bacterium. Its description in RNAcentral is "partial 16S ribosomal RNA". It matches the Rfam family "Bacterial small subunit ribosomal RNA", at positions 524 to 776 of the family's 1533-position model. The record is from RNAcentral.
UACGUAGGGGGCAAGCGUUAUCCGGAAUUACUGGGUGUAAAGGGUACGUAGGCGGUAUAGUAAGUCAGAUGUGAAAGCCCCGGGCUCAACCUGGGGACUGCAUUUGAAACUGCUUUACUAGAGUGCAGGAGAGGUAAGUGGAAUUCCUAGUGUAGCGGUGAAAUGCGUAGAUAUUAGGAGGAACACCAGUGGCGAAGGCGACUUACUGGACUGUAACUGACGCUGAGGUACGAAAGCGUGGGGAGCGAACAGG